This 1470-nucleotide ribosomal RNA is filed under the name metagenome. RNAcentral's name for it is "bacterial SSU rRNA". It matches the Rfam family "Bacterial small subunit ribosomal RNA". The record is from RNAcentral.
AGAGUUUGAUCCUGGCUCAGGACGAACGCUGGCGGCACGCUUAACACAUGCAAGUCGAACGAGAGAAGAGGAGCUUGCUUUUCUGAUCUAGUGGCGGACGGGUGAGUAACACGUGAGCAAUCUGCCUUUCAGAGGGGGAUACCGAUUGGAAACGAUCGUUAAUACCGCAUAACAUAAUUGAACCGCAUGAUUUGAUUAUCAAAGAUUUAUCGCUGAAAGAUGAGCUCGCGUCUGAUUAGCUAGUUGGUAAGGUAACGGCUUACCAAGGCGACGAUCAGUAGCCGGACUGAGAGGUUGAUCGGCCACAUUGGGACUGAGACACGGCCCAGACUCCUACGGGAGGCAGCAGUGGGGAAUAUUGCACAAUGGAGGAAACUCUGAUGCAGCGAUGCCGCGUGAGGGAAGAAGGUUUUAGGAUUGUAAACCUCUGUCUUCAGGGACGAAAAAAGACGGUACCUGAGGAGGAAGCUCCGGCUAACUACGUGCCAGCAGCCGCGGUAAUACGUAGGGAGCGAGCGUUGUCCGGAAUUACUGGGUGUAAAGGGAGCGUAGGCGGGAUCGCAAGUCAGAUGUGAAAACUAUGGGCUUAACCCAUAAACUGCAUUUGAAACUGUGGUUCUUGAGUGAAGUAGAGGUAAGCGGAAUUCCUAGUGUAGCGGUGAAAUGCGUAGAUAUUAGGAGGAACAUCAGUGGCGAAGGCGGCUUACUGGGCUUUAACCGACGCUGAGGCUCGAAAGCGUGGGGAGCAAACAGGAUUAGAUACCCUGGUAGUCCACGCCGUAAACGAUGAUUACUAGGUGUGGGGGGACUGACCCCUUCCGUGCCGCAGCAAACGCAAUAAGUAAUCCACCUGGGGAGUACGACCGCAAGGUUGAAACUCAAAGGAAUUGACGGGGGCCCGCACAAGCAGUGGAGUAUGUGGAUUAAUUCGAAGCAACGCGAAGAACCUUACCAGGUCUUGACAUCGUAUGCAUAGCUCAGAGAUGAGUGAAAUCUCUUCGGAGACAUAUAGACAGGUGGUGCAUGGUUGUCGUCAGCUCGUGUCGUGAGACGUUGGGUUAAGUCCCGCAACGAGCGCAACCCUUACUGUUAGUUGCUACGCAAGAGCACUCUAGCAGGACUGCCGUUGACAAAACGGGGGAAGGUGGGGAUGACGUCAAAUCAUCAUGCCCCUUAUGACCUGGGCCUCACACGUACUACAAUGGCUGUCAACAGAGGGAAGCAAAGCCGCGAGGUGGAGCGAACCCCUAAAAGCAGUCUUAGUUCGGAUUGUAGGCUGCAACCCGCCUACAUGAAGUCGGAAUUGCUAGUAAUCGCAGAUCAGCAUGCUGCGGUGAAUACGUUCCCGGGCCUUGUACACACCGCCCGUCACGCCAUGGGAGUCGGUAACACCCGAAGCCUGUAGUCUAACCGCAAGGAGGACGCAGUCGAAGGUGGGAUUGAUGACUGGGGUGAAGUCGUAACAAGGUA